Molecule: ribosomal RNA, 233 nt
Filed under: uncultured bacterium
Lineage: Bacteria
Description: partial 16S ribosomal RNA
Rfam family: Archaeal small subunit ribosomal RNA
Source: RNAcentral
UCCAGGCUGUAAACGAUGCGGGCUAGGUGUCACCAGAGCCACGAGCUCCGGUGGUGCCGGAGGGAAGCCGUUAAGCCCGCCGCCUGGGAAGUACGGCCGCAAGGCUGAAACUUAAAGGAAUUGGCGGGGGAGCACUACAACGGGUGGAGCCUGCGGUUCAAUUGGAUUCAACGCCGGGAAGCUUACCGGGGGAGACAGCUGGAUGAAGGUCGGGCUGGACCACCAGACUAGCU